This 433-nucleotide ribosomal RNA is filed under the name uncultured bacterium. RNAcentral's name for it is "partial 16S ribosomal RNA". It matches the Rfam family "Bacterial small subunit ribosomal RNA", at positions 29 to 507 of the family's 1533-position model. The record is from RNAcentral.
AGCGAACGCUGGCGGCAGGCCUAACACAUGCAAGUCGAACGAACUCUUCGGAGUUAGUGGCGGACGGGUGAGUAACACGUGGGAACGUGCCUUUAGGUUCGGAAUAACUCAGGGAAACUUGUACUAAUACCGAAUGUGCCCUUCGGGGGAAAGAUUUAUCGCCUUUAGAGCGGCCCGCGUCUGAUUAGCUAGUUGGUGAGGUAAAGGCUCACCAAGGCGACGAUCAGUAGCUGGUCUGAGAGGAUGAUCAGCCACAUUGGGACUGAGACACGGCCCAAACUCCUACGGGAGGCAGCAGUGGGGAAUCUUGCGCAAUGGGCGAAAGCCUGACGCAGCCAUGCCGCGUGAAUGAUGAAGGUCUUAGGAUUGUAAAAUUCUUUCACCGGGGACGAUAAUGACGGUACCCGGAGAAGAAGCCCCGGCUAACUUCGUG